This is a long non-coding RNA of Pseudopipra pipra, 691 nucleotides long. RefSeq lists it as uncharacterized. The transcript has 3 exons. The record is from RefSeq and is a predicted model, not a curated record. Lineage: Eukaryota; Metazoa; Chordata; Aves; Passeriformes; Pipridae.
CUCUCGGUUCCCUCGCGGGGGGAGAGACCCAAACUGCUGUGCUUGGACAGGGGCUGCGUCGAGGGAAAUACCAAUAGAGGCUACUGGGUUGUGUAACAGCCUCCAACAACUGAUAUGCAUGUGGUGAGGUCCCAGUUGAUCUAUAAGGGAAUAAACUUCUUGUGGAGCUAAAAGACUCAAGCAUGGCUAUAUUGCAUUUUCUUAUCUUGAGGAGGCAAGAAUGCUCAACACCUCUUAAAACCUGCUCUUCCAUAUCUGGAAAGAAGUUCAUAAAUAUUUCUGUCUCUGCAGACUGUGAUUUAGAUUGACCUGAAGCUGUGGCAUUUCUCAAAGAAAAAAAACAUUCAGAAAGAAGUCAUUUAGGAAGUUGGCUUCAAUAAUCUCAUGUUUCAAUAAAUUCAUAUUCCUUUCUGAUACAAAUACAGAUUUUGAGCUUAAUAUACUGAUGCAAAUUUUAAUAAAGUUUAAAAUAAGUCUAGUGAAAUGAUAGCUGAAAUAAAGCGCUAAUACUGGCAAAACGAAACACUUCAUAACAGGAAACCCAAGUCAAUUUGUUUCAAGAUUCUUACAUAAUUCUGAUAAUGUUUGAUAAAGUCUAGUAUUUGGACCUUUUUGAAUCACAGGUUUUCCCCAAAUUACCAUGCUUCCAUAAAAUGUUUAAAUAUCAGCAAAAUAUUCUGUAGCAGGAAUC